AAUGGGGGCAACCCUGAUCUAGCCAUGCCGCGUGUGUGGUGAAGGCCUUAGGGUCGUAAAGCACUUUCGCCAGGGAUGAUAAUGACAGUACUUGGUAAAGAAACCCCGGCUAACUCCGUGCCAGCAGCCGCGGUAAUACGGAGGGGGUUAGCGUUGUUCGGAAUUACUGGGCGUAAAGCGCGCGUAGGCGGACUAUUAAGUCAGAGGUGAAAUCCCGGGGCUCAACCCCGGAACUGCCUUUGAUACUGGUAGUCUUGAGGUCGAGAGAGGUGAGUGGAAUUCCGAGUGUAGAGGUGAAAUUCGUAGAUAUUCGGAGGAACACCAGUGGCGAAGGCGGCUCACUGGCUCGAUACUGACGCUGAGGUGCGAAAGUGUGGGGAGCAAACAGGAUU
This 392-nucleotide ribosomal RNA is filed under the name uncultured Gammaproteobacteria bacterium. Its description in RNAcentral is "bacterial SSU rRNA". It matches the Rfam family "Bacterial small subunit ribosomal RNA", at positions 370 to 779 of the family's 1533-position model. Lineage: Bacteria; Pseudomonadati; Pseudomonadota; Gammaproteobacteria. The record is from RNAcentral.